AGCACGGGAGCAAUCCUGGUGGCGAGUGGCGAACGGGUGAGUAAUGUAUCGGAACGUACCUUUCAGUGGGGGAUAACGUAGCGAAAGUUACGCUAAUACCGCAUAUUCUGUGAGCAGGAAAGCAGGGGAUCGCAAGACCUUGCGCUGAUUGAGCGGCCGAUAUCAGAUUAGCUAGUUGGUGAGGUAAAGGCUCACCAAGGCGACGAUCUGUAGCGGGUCUGAGAGGAUGAUCCGCCACACUGGAACUGAGACACGGUCCAGACUCCUACGGGAGGCAGCAGUGGGGAAUUUUGGACAAUGGGGGCAACCCUGAUCCAGCCAUGCCGCGUGAGUGAAGAAGGCCUUCGGGUUGUAAAGCUCUUUCAGCCGGGAAGAAAUCACAUGGGUUAAUACCCUGUGUGGAUGACGGUACCGGAAUAAGAAGCACCGGCUAACUACGUGCCAGCAGCCGCGGUAAUACGUAGGGUGCGAGCGUUAAUCGGAAUUACUGGGCGUAAAGCGUGCGCAGGCGGUUUGUUAAGAUAGGCGUGAAAUCCCCGGGCUCAACCUGGGAACUGCGUUUAUGACUGGCAGGCUAGAGUAUGGCAGAGGGGGGUGGAAUUCCACGUGUAGCAGUGAAAUGCGUAGAGAUGUGGAGGAACACCGAUGGCGAAGGCAGCCCCCUGGGCCAAUACUGACGCUCAUGCACGAAAGCGUGGGUAGCAAACAGGAUUAGAUACCCUGGUAGUCCACGCCCUAAACGAUGUCAACUAGGUGUUGGGUGGGUAAAACCAUUUAGUACCGGAGCUAACGCGUGAAGU
RNAcentral lists this ribosomal RNA (800 nucleotides) under uncultured bacterium. RNAcentral describes it as "bacterial SSU rRNA". It matches the Rfam family "Bacterial small subunit ribosomal RNA", at positions 71 to 865 of the family's 1533-position model. The record is from RNAcentral.